Molecule: ribosomal RNA, 751 nt
Filed under: uncultured Acetothermia bacterium
Lineage: Bacteria; Candidatus Bipolaricaulota
Description: bacterial SSU rRNA
Rfam family: Bacterial small subunit ribosomal RNA
Source: RNAcentral
UGUGAAAGCCCCCUGCUAAACGGGGGGAGGUCAGGCGAAACUGCCAAACUAGAGGGCUGGAGAGGGAAGCGGAACUGUCGGAGUAGCGGUGAAAUGCGUAGAUACCAACAGGAACCUCGAUAGCGAAGGCAGCUUCCUGGCCAGUUCCUGACGCUGAGGCGCGAAAGCGUGGGGAGCAAACCGGAUUAGAUACCCGGGUAGUCCACGCCCCAAACGAUGUCGGUUAGGUGUUGGUCUCUUAAUAGAAAGACCAGUGCCGCAGUUAACGCGUUAAACCGACCGCCUGGGGACUACGGCCGCAAGGCUAAAACUCAAGGGAAUUGACGGGGGCCUGCACAAGCGGUGGAGCACGUGGUUUAAUUCGAUGAUAAGCGAAGAACCUUACCUGGGCUUGACGUGCACGUGGUAGGAGUCCGAAAGGAUGACGACCUGACUCGUAAGAGUCAGGAGCGUGCACAGGUGCUGCAUGGCUGUCGUCAGCUCGUGUCGUGGGACCGUCGGGUUAAGUCCCGUAACGAGCGCAACCCCUGCGCCUAGUUGCCAGCACUUCGGGUGGGGACUCUAGGGGGACUGCCGGUGAAUAGCCGGAGGAAGGAGGGGACGACGUCAAGUCAGUAUGGCCCUUAUGUCCAGGGCGACACACGUGCUACAUUGGAUGGUACAAAGGGUCGCCAACCCGCAAGGGGGAGCCAAUCCCAAAAAGCCAUCCUCGGUUCGGAUUGUGGUCUGCAACUCGACCGCAUGAAGGCGG